This 593-nucleotide ribosomal RNA is filed under the name uncultured Basidiomycota. RNAcentral's name for it is "LSU rRNA". It matches the Rfam family "Eukaryotic large subunit ribosomal RNA", at positions 1 to 595 of the family's 3401-position model. The record is from RNAcentral. Lineage: Eukaryota; Fungi; Basidiomycota.
UCUCAAAUCAGGCAGGACUACCCGCUGAACUUAAGCAUAUCAAUAAGCGGAGGAAAAGAAACUAACAAGGAUUCCCCUAGUAACGGCGAGUGAAGCGGGAACAGCUCAAAUUUAAAAUCUGGUGGUCUUUGGUCACCCGAGUUGUAGUCCAGAGAAGUGUUUUCUGUGCUGGACCAUGUACAAGUCUCUUGGAACAGAGCGUCAUAGAGGGUGAGAAUCCCGUCCUUGACAUGGACUCCCAGUGCUAUACGAUGCACUCUCAAAGAGUCGAGUUGUUUGGGAAUGCAGCUCAAAAUGGGUGGUAAAUUCCAUCUAAAGCUAAAUAUUGGCGAGAGACCGAUAGCGAACAAGUACCGUGAGGGAAAGAUGAAAAGCACUUUGGAAAGAGAGUUAAACAGUACGUGAAAUUGUUGAAAGGGAAACGCUUGAAGUCAGUCUUGUCUUCUGGGACUCAGCCUUGCCUUGUGCUUGGUGCAUUUCCUAGUAAAACAGGCCAGUGUUGAUUUUGACCGCUGGAAAAAGGCCAGAGGAAAGUAGCACUCUCCGGAGUGUGUUAUAGCCUGGUUUCAUAUGCCGUUGGGACUGUGAGAUUC